Molecule: ribosomal RNA, 497 nt
Filed under: uncultured bacterium
Lineage: Bacteria
Description: partial 16S ribosomal RNA
Rfam family: Bacterial small subunit ribosomal RNA
Source: RNAcentral
GAUGAACGCUGGCGGCGUGCCUAAUACAUGCAAGUCGAGCGAACGGACGAGAAGCUUGCUUCUCUGAUGUUAGCGGCGGACGGGUGAGUAACACGUGGAUAACCUACCUAUAAGACUGGGAUAACUUCGGGAAACCGGAGCUAAUACCGGAUAAUAUUUUGAACCGCAUGGUUCAAAAGUGAAAGACGGUCUUGCUGUCACUUAUAGAUGGAUCCGCGCUGCAUUAGCUAGUUGGUAAGGUAACGGCUUACCAAGGCAACGAUGCAUAGCCGACCUGAGAGGGUGAUCGGCCACCCUGGAACUGAGACACGGUCCAGACUCCUACGGGAGGCAGCAGUAGGGAAUCUUCCGCAAUGGGCGAAAGCCUGACGGAGCAACGCCGCGUGAGUGAUGAAGGUCUUCGGAUCGUAAAACUCUGUUAUUAGGGAAGAACAGAUGUGUAAGUAACUGUGCACAUCUUGACGGUACCUAAUCAGAAAGCCACGGCUAACUACGUG